Molecule: transfer RNA, 90 nt
Filed under: Staphylococcus aureus
Lineage: Bacteria; Bacillati; Bacillota; Bacilli; Caryophanales; Staphylococcaceae
Description: tRNA-Ser(gga)
Rfam family: tRNA
About the family: Transfer RNA (tRNA) molecules are approximately 80 nucleotides in length. Their secondary structure includes four short double-helical elements and three loops (D, anti-codon, and T loops).
Source: RNAcentral
GGAGAGUUGUCCGAGUUGGCCGAAGGAGCACGCCUGGAAAGUGUGUAGGCGCCACAAGCGUCUCGAAGGGUUCGAAUCCCUCACUCUCCG